AGUCGAGCGGUAGAUACCUUCGGGUAUUGAGAGCGGCGGACGGGUGAGUAACGCGUAGGAAUCUACCUAUUAGUGGGGGAUAGCCCAGGGAAACUUGGAUUAAUACCGCAUACGCCCUACGGGGGAAAGCGGGGGAUCUUCGGACCUCGCGCUAAUAGAUGAGCCUGCGUAAGAUUAGCUAGUUGGUGAGGUAAAGGCUCACCAAGGCGACGAUCCCUAGCUGGUCUGAGAGGAUGAUCAGCCACACUGGAACUGAGACACGGUCCAGACUCCUACGGGAGGCAGCAGUGGGGAAUAUUGCACAAUGGGGGAAACCCUGAUGCAGCCAUGCCGCGUGUGUGAAGAAGGCCUUCGGGUUGUAAAGCACUUUCAGUCGUGAGGAAGGCGGUAUCGUUAAUAGCGGUAUUGUUUGACGUUAGCGACAGAAGAAGCACCGGCUAACUCCGUGCCAGCAGCCGCGGUAAUACGGAGGGUGCGAGCGUUAAUCGGAAUUACUGGGCGUAAAGCGCAUGCAGGCGGUCUGUUAAGCAAGAUGUGAAAGCCCGGGGCUUAACCUCGGAACAGCAUUUUGAACUGGCAGGCUAAAGUCUUGUAGAGGGGGGUAGAAUUUCAGGUGUAGCGGUGAAAUGCGUAGAGAUCUGAAGGAAUACCGGUGGCGAAGGCGGCCCCCUGGACAAAGACUGACGCUCAGAUGCGAAAGCGUGGGGAGCAAACAGGAUUAGAUACCCUGGUAGAAGGGC
RNAcentral lists this ribosomal RNA (740 nucleotides) under uncultured Vibrionales bacterium. Its description in RNAcentral is "bacterial SSU rRNA". It matches the Rfam family "Bacterial small subunit ribosomal RNA", at positions 60 to 795 of the family's 1533-position model. The record is from RNAcentral. Lineage: Bacteria; Pseudomonadati; Pseudomonadota; Gammaproteobacteria; Vibrionales.